This 468-nucleotide ribosomal RNA is filed under the name uncultured bacterium. Its description in RNAcentral is "partial 16S ribosomal RNA". It matches the Rfam family "Bacterial small subunit ribosomal RNA", at positions 28 to 507 of the family's 1533-position model. The record is from RNAcentral.
GACGAACGCUGGCGGCAUGCUUAACACAUGCCAGUCGAACGGAAAGGCCCUGCUUUUUUGGGGUGCUCGAGUGGCGAACGGGUGAGUAACACAUGAAUAACCUGCCCUGGACUUUGGGAUAACUUCAGAAAACUGGGGCUAAUACCUGAUAGGAGCGCCUGCUGCAUGGUGGGGGUUGGAAAUUUUCGGCGGUUGGGGAUGGACUCGCGGCUUAUCAGCUUGUUGGUUGGGUAUUGGCUUACCAAGGCUUUGACUGGUAGCCGGCAUGAGAGGUUGAACGGCAACCUGGGGCCUGCGAUACGGAGCAGACUCAUAUGUGAGGCAGCAGUCGGGAAUCUUGCACAAUGGGCGGACGUCUGAUGAAGAAACGCUGCGUGUGGGAUGAAGGCUUUCGGGUUGUAAACCGCUUUAGCUUGUGACGAAGCGUGAGUGACGGUAAUGGGUAAAGAAGCACCGGCUAACUACGUG